GAGGUGUUAGUAAAAUUUACAUAACUUUGUCAGAGUUAAGUUGCAGGUGAAAACCCCGUGCACCUCA
Molecule: transfer RNA, 67 nt
Filed under: Murina leucogaster (Greater tube-nosed bat)
Lineage: Eukaryota; Metazoa; Chordata; Mammalia; Chiroptera; Vespertilionidae
Description: tRNA-Asp
Source: RNAcentral